AGGCUCAUUCGGCUUGGGGGAUGUUGGCGAAUUUGAUCAUUUGGCCUCAAAAUUUUCAGUUGGAAUGCCGGUGGGAUCUGAAACUGCUUAUGGAGCAAUAUCACAUCCCUCUCUAUUAGUUCAGACUGGAAUCCUAGCGGGACGAAGUCGGAGUCUUUGGAAGCCAUUCUCCUUUGCACGAAGAAACCUUAAAAGUGGAGGAGGAAGAAGGAGAACCUACAGCAAAAGAAGAUGGGGGCAGAAGAAGACAAGGGC
RNAcentral lists this long non-coding RNA (255 nucleotides) under Elaeis guineensis (African oil palm). RNAcentral's name for it is "long non-coding RNA (EGUI_LNC001573)". Lineage: Eukaryota; Viridiplantae; Streptophyta; Magnoliopsida; Arecales; Arecaceae. The record is from RNAcentral.